This 222-nucleotide ribosomal RNA is filed under the name Achromobacter xylosoxidans. RNAcentral's name for it is "partial 16S ribosomal RNA". It matches the Rfam family "Bacterial small subunit ribosomal RNA", at positions 742 to 965 of the family's 1533-position model. Lineage: Bacteria; Pseudomonadati; Pseudomonadota; Betaproteobacteria; Burkholderiales; Alcaligenaceae. The record is from RNAcentral.
GACGCUCAUGCACGAAAGCGUGGGGAGCAAACAGGAUUAGAUACCCUGGUAGUCCACGCCCUAAACGAUGUCAACUAGCUGUUGGGGUCUUCGGACCUUGGUAGCGCAGCUAACGCGUGAAGUUGACGCCUGGGGAGUACGGUCGCAAGAUUAAAACUCAAAGGAAUUGACGGGGACCCGCACAAGCGGUGGAUGAUGUGGAUUAAUUCGAUGCAACGCGAA